RNAcentral lists this ribosomal RNA (362 nucleotides) under uncultured bacterium. RNAcentral describes it as "partial 16S ribosomal RNA". It matches the Rfam family "Bacterial small subunit ribosomal RNA", at positions 338 to 697 of the family's 1533-position model. The record is from RNAcentral.
CCUACGGGUGGCAGCAGUGAGGAAUAUUGGUCAAUGGACGCAAGUCUGAACCAGCCAUGCCGCGUGCAGGAAGACGGCUUUAUGAGUUGUAAACUGCUUUUGUACGAGGGUAAACGCAGAUACGCGUAUCUGUCGGAAAGUAUCGUACGAAUAAGGAUCGGCUAACUCCGUGCCAGAAGCCGCGGUAAUACGGAGGAUUCAAGCGUUACCCGGAUUUAUUGGGUUUAAGGGGUGCGUAGGCGGUCGGAUAAGUUAGAGGUGAAAUCCCGGGGCUCAACUUGGGAACUGCAUCUGAGACUGUGCGGCUAGAGUGUGGUUGCGGUAGGGAGAAUGUAAGGUGUAGCGGUGAAAGGCUUAGAGAU